AACGAACGCUGGCGGCGUGCCUAACACAUGCAAGUCGAGCGAUUCUCUUCGGAGAAGAGCGGCGGACGGGUGAGUAACGCGUGGGUAACCUGCCCUGUACACACGGAUUACAUACCGAAAGGUAUGCUAAUACGAGAUAAUAUACUUUUAUCGCAUGGUAGAAGUAUCAAAGCUUUUGCGGUACAGGAUGGACCCGCGUCUGAUUAGCUAGUUGGUAAGGUAACGGCUUACCAAGGCGACGAUCAGUAGCCGACCUGAGAGGGUGAUCGGCCACAUUGGAACUGAGACACGGUCCAAACUCCUACGGGAGGCAGCAGUGGGGAAUAUUGCACAAUGGGCGAAAGCCUGAUGCAGCAACGUCGCGUGAGCGAUGAAGGCCUUCGGGUCGUAAAGCUCUGUCCUCAAGGAAGAUAAUGACGGCACUUGAGGAGGAAGCCCCGGCUAACUACGUGCCAGCCGCCGCGGUAA
Molecule: ribosomal RNA, 468 nt
Filed under: uncultured bacterium
Lineage: Bacteria
Description: partial 16S ribosomal RNA
Rfam family: Bacterial small subunit ribosomal RNA
Source: RNAcentral